UGCUGCACCACAAACUUCACCCACAGCAACCAUGACUUUGGUCUCCAUCUUCAUCUGGACACUCACCCUCUGGACUCAAGGAUCCAGUGGUCAGGUCACUGUAACUCAGACUCCUGCAGUGAAAGCUAUUUCUCCAGGAGUUUCAGUCACCAUCAGCUGUAGAACCAACCCUGCAGUUCAUCGUGAUAGUGAUGGGGAUGAUUACAUGUUCUGGUAUCAGCAGAAACCUGGAGAAGCUCCUAAACUCCUGAUUAGAUAUGCUAAAAAGUUACAGUCAGGUAUUCCAGCUCGUUUCAGUGGCAGUGGAUCUGGAUCUGACUUCACUCUGACCAUCAGUAAUGUCCAGACUGAAGAUGCAGGAGAUUAUUACUGUCAGAGUACACAUAGUAUCAGUGGUAGCUACGUGUUCCCACAGUGUUUAGUAGGUGUACAAAAAGCUCCCUCAGUCAGCUGCACAGAGACUGCACUGCUGCAGCUGGACUCUACUGCAGGUGCUGAGGGGGAGGAUGGACACACACAAUAACACACUCUGUGGAAAUCAGGACUUUAGAUGGAAUUUGUUCUUCUUUUCAUUAGACUGUAAAUGCUUUGUGAUUUUAGGGAUUUAUUUCCUGAUCUCCACAGGUCUGGAACUAGCUGUAGAGUUCAGCUAGAGUCUCAUUUAUUAUAAAGUUUAUUAUAAGGAUCUGGACAGAUUAUGAAAUGGAUGUUUCUCUCAGUCCUGAGAAAGAGGGAGUCCCUGAAGAAAUCCUUCAACAAACUCAGACUCAGCAGUUUUUAUUGGGAGAUCAUAUUCAGAGUGCAGAACUUCCCAAGAGUCUAACUGGAUCUGAUGAAAACAGUGGUCAGUAGCAGUUGGUGUGCUGUUAGACAGAGUGAUCCACCAUGGAGUCUGACAGGCAGACUGACCAGCAGGGGGAGCCACAGCCCACCUCAGCCCCUCCCAGCAGCCUCCUGGAGCUCCACCCUCCCACACUGAUCAAUAAAACUCCCACUACUGAUCCUGGAGUGUGGAACUGGGAGGCGUGCAGGAACGCUGCUGUGGGUUUUCUCACUGGCCAUGUUCCUGCUGCACCAUUACUCUCUGUACACUGUGAUAAAGAGCACAGGAGAAUCAGCUGGAGCUUCAUUCACCACUGCACUGAUUACACUGUUUAUACUCCCAUUAUUUCCCUCAGAACAAACACACUAC
Long non-coding RNA from Colossoma macropomum (tambaqui), 1192 nucleotides. RefSeq lists it as uncharacterized. The record is from RefSeq and is a predicted model, not a curated record. The transcript is spliced from 3 exons. Lineage: Eukaryota; Metazoa; Chordata; Actinopteri; Characiformes; Serrasalmidae.